GGUCGGGUGGAGAGGCGUAAUACAAUACCCGUAAGGGGAAUAUGCCCAGAGCUUCUUGUAAGGCUCAGUUGACACCCGACCAACCAGCU
Molecule: small RNA, 89 nt
Rfam family: sRNA-Xcc1
Source: Rfam